UGGGCAACCUGCCCCAAGGAGCGGGACAACCCGGGGAAACUCGGGCUAAUAUCGCAUGUUCCGCGGUGCCUCAAGGCACCUCGGGAAAUGGUAGCUUCGGCCUCCGCCUUGGGAUGGGCCCGCGGCGCAUUAGCUUAUUGGUGGGGUAACGGCCCACCAAGGCGACGAUGCGUAGCUGGUCUGAGAGGACGAUCAGCCACACUGGGACUGAGACACGGCCCAGACUCCUACGGGAGG
Molecule: ribosomal RNA, 237 nt
Filed under: uncultured bacterium
Lineage: Bacteria
Description: partial 16S ribosomal RNA
Rfam family: Bacterial small subunit ribosomal RNA
Source: RNAcentral